Leucoraja erinaceus (little skate) is the source of this 6049-nucleotide long non-coding RNA. RefSeq lists it as uncharacterized. The transcript is spliced from 2 exons. Lineage: Eukaryota; Metazoa; Chordata; Chondrichthyes; Rajiformes; Rajidae. The record is from RefSeq and is a predicted model, not a curated record.
UUCUCUCUCUCUGUCUCUCUCUCUCUCUCUCCCUCUACAAUAAAUAUAGGCUGCACGAAGUAAAUGAGGUGCUUGAGGAGUAUAAAGAAUAGAACACUGCCAAAUGGCCUAAAUCUCUCUGUAGACUUUGAAAAUCUACUCCAUUAUCCACAACACCACCUAUCUUGGUAUCAUCUGCAUACUUACUAAUCUAAUUUACCACACCAUCAUCCAGAUCAUUGAUGUAUAUGACAAACAACAGUGGACCCAACACAGAUCCCUUAGGCACCUCACUAGUCACCGACCUCCAACCUGACAAACAACCAUCCACCAUUACUCUCUGGCAUCUCCUAUUCAACCACUGUUGAAUCCAUCUUGCUACUCCACCAUUAAAUGUUGUUGAGGCCACAUUUGAAAGCGAAGCAUCGCCUAUCCAUGUUCCCCGUAGAUACUGCCUGACCUGUUGAGUUAUGCCAGUAUGUUAUGUCCUUAAAAUGUAUAAGAUCAGCUGCCUCAGCAGUUACAUCACUGUAUUAAUUUAAAGAAUACACUGAAGCCCUGGCUGAGAUACAUAGAAACAUAGAAAUUAGUUGCAGGAGUAGGCCUUUCGGCCCUUCGAGCCUGCACCGCCAUUCAAUAUGAUCAUGGCUGAUCAUCCAACUCAGUAUCCCGUACCUGCCUUCUCUCCAUACCCCCUGAUCCCCUUAGCCAGAAGGGCCACAUCUAACUCCCUCUUAAAUAUAGCCAAUGAAAUGGCCUCAACUACCCUCUGUGGCAGAGAGUUCCAGAGAUUCACCACUCUCUGUGUGAAAAAAGUUAUUCUCAUCUCGGUUUUAAAGGAUUUCCCCCUUAUCCUUAAGCUGUGACCCCUUGUCCUGGACUUCCCCAACAUCGGGAACAAUCUUCCUGCAUCUAGUCUGUCCAACCCCUUAAGAAUUUUGUAAGUUUCUAUAAGAUCCCCUCUCAAUCUCCUAAAUUCUAGAGAGUAUAAACCAAGUCUAUCCAGUCUUUCUUCAUGACAGUCCUGACAUCCCAGGAAUCAGUCUGGUGAACCGUCUCUGCACUCCCUCUAUGGCAAUAAUGUCCUUCCUCAGAUUUGGAGACCAAAACUGUAUGCAAUACUCCAAGUGUGGUCUCACCAAGACCCUGUACAACUGCAGUAGAACCUCCCUGCUCCUAUACUCAAAUCCUUUUGCAAUGAAAGCUAACAUACCAUGCGCUUUCUUUACUGCCUGCUGCACCUGCAUGCCUACCUUCAAUGACUGGUGUACCAUGACACCCAGGUCUCGCUGCAUCUCCCCCUUUCCCAAUCGGCCACCAUUUAGAUAAUAGUCUGCUUUCCCGUUUUUGCCACCAAAAUGGAUAACCUCACAUUUAUCCACAUUAUACUGCAUCUGCCAAACAUUUGCCCACUCACCCAGCCUAUCCAAGUCACCUUGCAGUCUCCUAGCAUCCUCCUCACAGCUAACACUGCCCCCCAGCUUAGUGUCAUCCGCAACCCUGGAGAUAUUGCCUUCAAUUCCCUCAUCCAGAUCAUUAAUAUAUAUUGUAAAUAGCAGGGGUCCCAGCACUGAGCCUUGCGGUACCCCACCAGUCACUGCCUGCCAUUGUGAAAAGGACCCGUUUACUCCUACUCUUUGCUUCCUGUUUGCCAGCCACUUCUCUAUCCACAUCAAUACUGAACCCCCAAUGCCGUGUGCUUUAAGUUUGUAUACUAAUCUCUUAUGUGGGACCUUGUCAAAAGCCUUCUGGAAGUCCAGAUACACCACAUCCACUGGUUCUCCCCUAUCCACGCUACUAGUUACAUCCUCGAAAAAUUCUAUAAGAUUCGUCAGACAUGAUUUACCUUUCGUAAAUCCAUGCUGAUUUUGUCCAAUGAUUUCACCACCUUCCAAAUGUGCUGCUAUCCCAUCUUUAAUAACUGACUCUAGCAGUUUCCCCACUACCAAUGUUAGACUAACUGGUCUGUAAUUCCCCGUUUCUCUCUCCCUCCCUUCUUAAAAAGUGGGGUUACGUUUGCUACCCGCCAAUCCUCAGGAACUACUCCAGAAUCUAAAGAGUUUUGAAAGAUUAUUACUAAUGCAUCCACUAUUUCUGGAGCUACUUCCUUAAGUACUCUGGGAUGCAGCCUAUCAGGCCCUGGGGAUUUAUCGGCCUUUAAUCCAUUCAAUUUACCAAACACUAUUUCCCGGCUAACCUGGAUUUCACUCAAUUCCUCCAACUCCUUUGACCCACGGUCCCCUGCUAUUUCCGGCAAAUUAUUUAUGUCUACCUUAGUGAAGACGGAACCAAAGUAGUUAUUCAAUUGGUCCGCCAUAUCCUUGUUCCCCACGAUCAACUCACCUGUUUCUGACUGCAAGGCACCUACAUUUGUUUUAACUAACCUCUAUCUUUUCACAUAUCUAUAAAAAUUUUUGCAGUCAGUUUUUAUGUUCCCUGCCAGUUUUCUUUCAUAAUCUAUUUUCCCUUUCCUAAUUAAGCCCUUUGUCCUCCUCUGCUGGUCUCUGAAUUUCUCCCAGUCCUCCGAUGUGCUGCUUUUUCUGGCUAAUUUGUACGCAUCAUCCUUCGCUUUGAUACUAUCCCUGAUUUCCCUUGUUAUCCACGGAUGUACUACCUUCCCUGAUUUAUUCUUUUGCCAAACUGGGAUGAACAAUUUUUGUAGUUCAUCCAUGCAGUCUUUAAAUGUCUUCCAUUGCAUAUCCAUCGUCAACCCUUUUAGAAUUAAUUGCCAGUCAAUCUUGGCCAAUUCACAUCUCAUACCCUCAAAGUUACCUUUCUUUAAGUUCAGAACCAUUGUUUCUGAAUUAACAAUGUCACUCUCCAUCCUAAUGAAGAAUUCAACCAUAUCAUGGUCACUCUUGCCCAAGGGGCCACGUACAACAAGAUUGCUAACUAACCCUUCCUCAUUACUCAAUACCCAGUCUAAAAUAGCCUGCUCUCUCGUUGGUUCCUCUACAUGUUGAUUUAGAUAACUAUUCCGCAUACAUUCCAAGAAAUCCUCUUCCUCAGCACCCCAGCCAAUUUGAUUCACCCAAUCUAUAUGUAGAUUGAAGUCACCCAUUAUAACUGUUUUGCCUGUCGCACGCAUUUCUAAUUUCCUGUUUGAUACCAUCUCCAACUUCACUACUACUGUUAGGUGGCCUGUACACAACACCCACCAGCGUUUUCUGCCCCUUAGUGUUUCGCAGCUCUACCCAUACCGAUUCCUCAUCCUCCAAACUAAUGUCCUUCCUUUCUAUUGAAUUAAUCUCCUCUCUAAUCAGUAACGCAACCCCACCUCCUUUUCCUUUCUCUCUAUCCCUCCUGAAUAUUGAAUAUCCCUGGAUGUUCAGCUCCCAGCCUUGGUCACCCUUGAGCCAUGUCUCCGUGAUCCCAACUAUAUCAUAGUCAUUAAUGGCUAUCUGCACAUUCAACUCAUCCACCUUAUUACGAAUGCUCCUUGCAUUGAGACGCAAAGCCUUCAGGCUUGUUUUUACAACACUCUUACCCCUUAUACAAUUAUGUUGAAAAGUGGCCCUUUUUGAUUUUUGCCUGGGUUUUGACUGCCUGCCACUUUUACUUUUCACCUUGCUACCUAUUGCUUCUACCCUCAUUUUACACCCCUUGGUCGCUACGCUCACACAUUUAAGAAUGCCUUUCCCUUUAACUUCAUCCUCCACUAUCCCAUUCGACACCCCACCCCCCUUGUUCAGUUUAAAGCCACCCAUGUAGCAGUGGCAAAUCUGCCUGCCAGAAGGCUGGUCCCGCACCUGUUAAGAUGCAAUCCGUCCGUUUUGUACAUUUCCCCCUUACCCCAAAACAGAUCCCAGUGAUCUAAGAAUCUAAAUCCCUGCCCCAUGCACCAGUUCCUCAGCCACACGUUCAGGUCCCGUAUCUCCCUGUUCCUGCUCUCGCCAGCACGGGGAACUGGAAGCAAACCGGAGAUAACAACCCUGGAGGUCCUGCUUUUCAACAUUUUUCCGAGCUCUCUAAAGUCACGCUGCAGAAUAUUCAUCCCCUUUUUUCCGACAUUGUUUGUGCCGACAUGCACUACCACUUCCGGAUGUUCACCUUCGCCCUUGAGGAUUUUCUGCACUCUGUCCAUGACAUCCUGGAUCCUGGCACAGGGAAGGCAGCACACCAUCCUCGCAUCCCAUCUGUUGCCGCAGAAACCCCUGUCUGUUGCCGCAGAAACCCCUCUCCUCUCAUGAUGGAGUCUCCCACUACAAUGGCCUUGCCUGCCUUAGGCCUUUUUGGUUUUGGCUCAACAGCCCAAUUCGCAUCGCAAGCCAGUCUUCUGUCCCAACAGCUUCUAAGCGGGUGAACCUGUUUACAAGAGGUACACCACCCGGGGACGUUGGCAUUCCAUGCUUCCCUCCCUUUCUCACUGUCUCCCACCUUGUCUCUUCCAGUACCUUAGGUGUAACAAUCGUACUGUAGGACUUAUCGAGGAACGACUCAGUUUCUCGUACGAACCGGAGGUCAUCCACUUGCUUCUCCAGUUCCCCAACACGGCCCUUCAGGAGCUCCACCUGGAUGUACAGUAUAUGGAUCAUUGUUAGCCACCGGUAAUAUGCUAGAAAGUUUUUUAAGAAGGCUUGUAUAGGAAAACCUGGGGACUAUCGACCAGUGAGCCAAAUUACAGGAGGGGAUUCUGAAGGAUAAGAUAUAACUGCAUUUGGUAAAACAGAGGUUGAUCAUCGCCGAUUCCCAGUCCGCAGCAAAGAUCCUAGAGGAGCAAGAUAGACCACUCCUCGAAAAACGCGUAGUAUGACGUGUGUGAUCGUCGACGCCAUUUUUCGAGGCAUUUAUUGGGCUUCCCCCACAGUGUCAUGGCGUCCUUAUCUAAAUUUCAUCUCACUGCCUUGCUAUCAAGAAUUCUAAUCGUAAAUCUAAACAACCUGACCUGUCAUUCUUUAGGUUCCCCAAUAAAAAAGAAAGAUGUCAACAGUGGGUCCAGAAUACUCAUCGACAAGAUCUCCUGCACCGAACUGCAGAGUAUUUGUCAAAUAACUGCCGUCUUAUGUACAUUGUGUGAAAUUGUGAUUUGUUAACUGCACAAAACUAAUGCAAAUGGCGAUAUAUUUAUUAUUGUAUCUACGUUGGACAUUUUGCUCUUUGGUGUCAGAACGCGGGGUGGGAGAUUGCAACCUUCACGUGGUCCGCCCUGUUUCGACAAAUGCAAUCAACCCGGUGUGCACAGUCAAAUAAGAUCAAAUAGAAUAAGUUGUCCUACAACUUUAGGCUGUGCACGCCAUACGCAAUAAGAAGAAGAAGAAGUGUCAGAAUGCAGUCUGAAGAAGGCUUCCGACCUGCAACAUCACCUAUUCCUUUUCUCCAGAGAUGCUGCCUGACCCACUGAGUUACUCCAGCAUUUUGUGUCUAUCUCUGUUUAGAUUGGACUCGUGGAUGGAGAUUGCGGCUGGUCUGGUGAUCUAGAACGAGGGCCAAAGUCUCAGAAUAUGGGUCAUGAUAUUUAGUAAUGAGACAAGGAGCAGUUUCUUCACUCAAGGGCUGGGAAUCUUGGAAUUCUUUAUCGCGUGAGAUGGUGGAAGUCGAGCCCUUGAAAGGAGAGAUAUUUUUUUUCAAAUACGAAGGAUAAUGGAGAGAAUGGAUGAAGGACGGGAUGAAGGAUAAUGGAGAGAAUGUGGGAAUAAGGUGUUGAGUUGCAGGAUCAACAAUAAUCUUACUGAUGGUGGUGUGAACUUAGAUGGCUUAUCCUUGCUUCUAUUUCUUACAGAGACACAGCACGGAAACAGGCCCUUUGGCCCACCGCGUCCGCAUUGACCAGCGAUCCCCGCACACUAACACCACCCUACACACACUAGGGACAAUUUACACUUAUACCAAGCCUACACACCUGUAUGUCUUUGGAGUGUGGGAGGAAACCGAAGAUCUCGGAGAACACCCAUUCAGUCACGGGGAGAAUGUACGAACUCAGUACAGACAGCACCCACUGUAAGGCAGCAACUUUACUGCUGCACCACCAUGCCGCCCUUAAUCCACUAGGGCACUAGGUUACAAUAAACUUCCUACAUAUUCCAGGAAUGCAUCUCAUAAAAAUGGGAGAGGUUUAAAUGCAUUGUAAAAU